Molecule: ribosomal RNA, 543 nt
Filed under: [Clostridium] leptum DSM 753
Lineage: Bacteria; Bacillati; Bacillota; Clostridia; Eubacteriales; Oscillospiraceae
Description: SSU rRNA
Rfam family: Bacterial small subunit ribosomal RNA
Source: RNAcentral
AGGACGAACGCUGGCGGCGUGCCUAACACAUGCAAGUCGAACGGAGUUAAAUUCGACACCCGAGUAUCCGGCCGGGAGGCGGGGUGCUGGGGGUUGGAUUUAACUUAGUGGCGGACGGGUGAGUAACGCGUGAGUAACCUGCCUUUCAGAGGGGGAUAACGUUCUGAAAAGAACGCUAAUACCGCAUAACAUCAAUUUAUCGCAUGAUAGGUUGAUCAAAGGAGCAAUCCGCUGGAAGAUGGACUCGCGUCCGAUUAGCCAGUUGGCGGGGUAACGGCCCACCAAAGCGACGAUCGGUAGCCGGACUGAGAGGUUGAACGGCCACAUUGGGACUGAGACACGGCCCAGACUCCUACGGGAGGCAGCAGUGGGGGAUAUUGCACAAUGGGGGAAACCCUGAUGCAGCAACGCCGCGUGAGGGAAGAAGGUUUUCGGAUUGUAAACCUCUGUUCUUAGUGACGAUAAUGACGGUAGCUAAGGAGAAAGCUCCGGCUAACUACGUGCCAGCAGCCGCGGUAAUACGUAGGGAGCGAGCGUUGUCCG